AGAGUUUGAUCCUGGCUCAGGACGAACGCUGGCGGCGUGCCUAACACAUGCAAGUCGAGCGGAGACAGUGAGUAGCUUGCUAUGAGCUGUUUUAGCGGCGGACGGGUGAGUAACGCGUGAGCAACCUUUCCCAGACAGGGGAAUAACACACCGAAAGGUGUACUAAUACCGCAUAAGACCACGGGAUCACAUGGUUCUGGGUAAAGAAUUAUUCGUU
This 217-nucleotide ribosomal RNA is filed under the name uncultured bacterium. RNAcentral's name for it is "partial 16S ribosomal RNA". It matches the Rfam family "Bacterial small subunit ribosomal RNA", at positions 8 to 216 of the family's 1533-position model. The record is from RNAcentral.